CGUAAUCCGGGUUGCGGACAGUGUCUGGUGGGUAGUUUGACUGGGGCGGUCUCCUCCUAAAGAGUAACGGAGGAGCACGAAGGUUGGCUAAUCCUGGUCGGACAUCAGGAGGUUAGUGCAAUGGCAUAAGCCAGCUUGACUGCGAGCGUGACGGCGCGAGCAGGUGCGAAAGCAGGUCAUAGUGAUCCGGUGGUUCUGAAUGGAAGGGCCAUCGCUCAACGGAUAAAAGGUACUCCGGGGAUAACAGGCUGAUACCGCCCAAGAGUUCAUAUCGACGGCGGUGUUUGGCACCUCGAUGUCGGCUCAUCACAUCCUGGGGCUGAAGUAGGUCCCAAGGGUAUGGCUGUUCGCCAUUUAAAGUGGUACGCGAGCUGGGUUUAGAACGUCGUGAGACAGUUCGGUCCCUAUCUGCCGUGGGCGCUGGAGAACUGAGGGGGGCUGCUCCUAGUACGAGAGGACCGGAGUGGACGCAUCACUGGUGUUCGGGUUGUCAUGCCAAUGGCACUGCCCGGUAGCUAAAUGCGGAAGAGAUAAGUGCUGAAAGCAUCUAAGCACGAAACUUGCCCCGAGAUGAGUUCUCCCUGAGACUUAGAGUCUCCUGAAGGAACGUUGAAGACGACGACGUUGAUAGGCCGGGUGUGUAAGCGCAGCGAUGCGUUGAGCUAACCGGUACUAAUGAACCGUGAGGCUUAACCUU
Molecule: ribosomal RNA, 697 nt
Filed under: Salmonella enterica subsp. enterica serovar Infantis
Lineage: Bacteria; Pseudomonadati; Pseudomonadota; Gammaproteobacteria; Enterobacterales; Enterobacteriaceae
Also listed under: 5 other names
Description: partial 23S ribosomal RNA
Rfam family: Bacterial large subunit ribosomal RNA
Source: RNAcentral